Molecule: ribosomal RNA, 470 nt
Filed under: uncultured bacterium
Lineage: Bacteria
Description: partial 16S ribosomal RNA
Rfam family: Bacterial small subunit ribosomal RNA
Source: RNAcentral
GACGAACGCUGGCGGCGUGCUUAACACAUGCAAGUCGAACGAUGAAGCGGUGCUUGCACCGUGGUUUAGUGGCGAACGGGUGAGUAAUACGUGAGUGACCUACCUUUGACUCUGGGAUAAGCCUGGGAAACUGGGUCUAAUACCGGAUACGACCAAUCUCUGCUUGGGUGUUGGUGGAAAGCGUUCUGGAGUGGUUUUAGAUGGGCUCACGGCCUAUCAGCUUGUUGGUGAGGUAAUGGCUUACCAAGGCGACGACGGGUAGCCGGCCUGAGAGGGUGACCGGCCAAACUGGGACUGAGACACGGCCAAGACUCCUACGGGAGGCAGAAGUGGGGAAUAUUGCACAAUGGGCGCAAGCCUAAUGCAGCGACGCCGCGUGAGGGAUGACGGCCUUCGGGUUGUAAACCUCUGUUAGCAUCGAAGAAGCGAAAGUGACGGUAGGUGCAGAGAAAGCGCCGGCUAACUACGUG